GACGAACGCUGGCGGCGUGCCUAAUACAUGCAAGUAGAACGCUGAAGGAGGAGCUUGCUUCUCUGGAUGAGUUGCGAACGGGUGAGUAACGCGUAGGUAACCUGCCUGGUAGCGGGGGAUAACUAUUGGAAACGAUAGCUAAUACCGCAUAAUAGUAGAUGUUGCAUGACAUUUGCUUAAAAGGUGCAAUUGCAUCACUACCAGAUGGACCUGCGUUGUAUUAGCUAGUUGGUGGGGUAACGGCUCACCAAGGCGACGAUACAUAGCCGACCUGAGAGGGGGAUCGGCCACACUGGGACUGAGACACGGCCCAGACUCCUACGGGAGGAAGCAGUAGGGAAUCUUCGGCAAUGGACGGAAGUCUGACCGAGCAACGCCGCGUGAGUGAAGAAGGUUGUCGGAUCGUAAAGCUCUGUUGUAAGAGAAGAACGAGUGUGAGAGUGGAAAGUUCACACUGUGACGGUAGCUUACCAGAAAGGGACGGCUAACUACGUG
This 495-nucleotide ribosomal RNA is filed under the name uncultured bacterium. RNAcentral describes it as "partial 16S ribosomal RNA". It matches the Rfam family "Bacterial small subunit ribosomal RNA", at positions 28 to 507 of the family's 1533-position model. The record is from RNAcentral.